AUUGAACGCUAGCGGGAUGCCUUACACAUGCAAGUCGAACGGCAGCAUAAGAGAGCUUGCUCUCUUGAUGGCGAGUGGCGAACGGGUGAGUAAUGUAUCGGAACGUGCCCAGUAGCGGGGGAUAACUACGCGAAAGCGUAGCUAAUACCGCAUACGCCCUACGGGGAAAGGAGGGGAUCUGCAAGGACCUUUCACUAUUGGAGCGGCCGAUACCGGAUUAGCUAGUUGGUAAGGUAACGGCUUACCAAGGCGAUGAUGCAUAGCCGAGUUGAGAGACUGAUCGGCCACAAUGGAACUGAGACACGGUCCAU
Molecule: ribosomal RNA, 311 nt
Filed under: uncultured bacterium
Lineage: Bacteria
Description: bacterial SSU rRNA
Rfam family: Bacterial small subunit ribosomal RNA
Source: RNAcentral